This 392-nucleotide ribosomal RNA is filed under the name uncultured bacterium. RNAcentral describes it as "partial 16S ribosomal RNA". It matches the Rfam family "Bacterial small subunit ribosomal RNA", at positions 523 to 918 of the family's 1533-position model. The record is from RNAcentral.
AUACGGAGGAUCCGAGCGCUAUCCGGAUUUAUUGGGUUUAAAGGGUGCGCAGGCGGCCAUUUAAGUCAGCGGUUAAAUCGUGGGGCUCAACCCCAUUCUGCCGUUGAUACUGGGUGGCUUGAUUGCGGUCGAGGUUGGCGGAAUUCGUUGUGUAGCGGUGAAAUGCAUAGAUAUGACGAAGAACACCGAUUGCAUAGGCAGCUGACCAGACCGCAAAUGACGCUCAUGCACGAAAGUGCGGGGAUCGAACAGGAUUAGAUACCCUGGUAGUCCGCACAGUAAACGAUGAAUACUUGUUUUCGGCGAUAUAAUGUCGGAGGCAAAGCGAAAGCGAUAAGUAUUCCACCUGGGGAGUACGCCGGCAACGGUGAAACUCAAAGGAAUUGACGGGG